CCGAGUAACCAUAAUAAUUAAAACUUUCAACAACGGAUCUCUUGGUUCCAGCAUCGAUGAAGAACGCAGCGAAAUGCGAAAAGUAAUGUGAAUUGCAGAAUUCCGUGAAUCAUCGAAUCUUUGAACGCACAUUGCGCCCCUUGGUAUUCCGGGGGGCAUGCCUGUUCGAGCGUCAUUGCACCACUCAAGCCUUGCUUGGUAUUGGGCGUCGCCUCCCGGGGCGAGCCCGGAAUUUAGCGGCGGUCCAGCGAGACUUCAAGCGUAGCAAGAUAUUCUUAUCCCGCUUAGGAAGCUUCCCGCUGCGGUCGGCCAGAUAACCCCGAUUUUUUCAAUGGUUGACCUCGGAUCAGGUAGGGAUACCCGCUGAACUUAAGCAUAUCAAUAAGCGGAGGAAAAGAAACCAACAGGGAUUGCC
Molecule: ribosomal RNA, 415 nt
Filed under: Hyperphyscia adglutinata
Lineage: Eukaryota; Fungi; Ascomycota; Lecanoromycetes; Caliciales; Physciaceae
Description: eukaryotic LSU rRNA
Rfam family: 5.8S ribosomal RNA (bases 22-175)
Source: RNAcentral